GAUGAACCUUGAAGGCAUUAUGCCAAGUGAAAUAAACCAGUCAUAAAAAGACAAAUAUUGUAUGAUUCCACAUCUGUGAGGCACCUAGAGUUGUCAAAUUCAGAGAGACAGAACAUAGCAUGGUGGUUGCCAAGGGCUGGGGGAGAGGGAAAUUGAAACUGUACCCACUAAACAACCCACUGUUGUUUAGUGGGCACAGUUUUAAUUGGGGAAGAUGAAAAAGUUCUGGAAAUGGAUGGUGGUAAUGUUAGCACAACAGUGCGACUAGAUUUAAUGCUGCUGAACUGUGCACUUAACUGGUUAAGGUGGUAAAAUUUAUGUGAUAUAUUUUUACCACAAUAAAAAAAAAGACUUCUAAACAUAUUCGAAAUUGGCUCUCCUAAUAAAUUCUUUAAACAAUUUGCUUAGGGGGAAAAAAGGCAUUUACUUCAACAGUUCAUCAAUUUGAGCACCUGCUGUGUACCUUGCCCUUCGCUGGGCAUUGUAUGUAUGUAUGUGUUUUAUUUGAGGUAUAAUAGUUGAAGCAAUACAAUAAAGUCCACAGAUCUAAAGUGUUCAGUUCACUGAGUUUCGAUAACUGUAUAUACCUGUGUAGCCACCAUCCAAAACAAGAUGUAAAACGUUUUCGUCACCCCAGAAAUUUCCCACAUGCCGCCUCCAAGCAAUCCCCCUUCUUCUCCUGACCAUUUUCUGACAUCUGUCAUCAGAGAUGAGCUUUGCCUGCUGUGUGACUUUGUAUGAACCGAAGCAUGUGGUGUGUACUCUGGUGCCCUCUGGCUUCACUCAGCCUACCCCGGGCGCCACUUAUCCAUCUUGACACUUACCCCAGUAGUUCGUUCCUUAUUGCUAAGUAGCGUUCCGUGGUGUGUACCAGAGUUGGUGUGUCCACUCUCCUGUGGAUGGACAUUGAAUGUUGCAGUGUUUGGGGAAAGUUGGCAGCGAGUGAGGAAUGUUAGCUGGCCAACUGGGAGUGUCCCCACAGAUUGGCGUUGUAAUAUAAGCUCUCCGUGCAGGGGGGUUCCCUACGAGACUGGCAGCUUACCCGGAGUUGAACAGUCUCCAGGUCCUGGCAUUUGGGUGAUUUACACUAAAAGUAUGGCACCCGCUAGACCAGAUGCUCAUGUUGCUACUGGACAGAUUUCUCCCUUGAAGGUGCAUCACACAGGAACCUGAGUCUCUUAUCGGGAGGCUGCUUGGUGACUCUGCCCUGGGGACAGGAAGUUGGUGGAUGGUCUUAAAGGUCAGUGUCCUUGAGCAGUGACUGCACCUCCCCAGCUCAGGCGGCCACCUGCAGAACUGACUGGAUACCACGGGGUAGGGGUAGGGGGUAGGGACUAGGGUGACCACUCCCCAGCUCGGCCCCUUCCUCUCUGGUUUGCAGCCUUAGAGCUGGUUGACACGUUCUUUCUGCAGCCGAGUGAAUGCCUUUAGUCUGAGACUGUAGCACAAGAGCUAUUCUUGCAAGAGCUGUCCUUCCAGUGACCUUGCCCUCUCUGUUGUGACCCAUUCUCCAGUGAGUCUGCUGUCUGACUCUGAGAUCAGCGUCCCCCACUUCCACAUUUCUGGGCAGCAUCUCAGCUCCUGAAGUAGCAGUGAGGCCUUGUGCCCACGAGCCAUGGCCUUUGCUGCCAGGGAGGUCAGGCCUCAGCAUCCUAGCAGGGCCGCCUAGAAAUGGCGAAAUCCUAGGCAGUUUACCUCAUCUCUUGGAACAUAGCCACCUCAUAUAAUGACACUAAUAAUAGCUUUGCUGCCCUAUGUACUGCCCGUAACAGGACUGUAAGGUGGGGGGCGAGGUAAUUCUCGCCUUCCAGGAAUGCACACAAGGUACAUCUGCGUGAAAGCUGAGUUCACUUGUCUCCCCUGGGUCCACAUUCCUGGGCCAUGCAUCAUCGCAUGACUUGGAGAGUGCGGGGUGCUAACUGGAACUGUUGCCUCCAGUGGAGAGCUGUGGGAACACGGGCCGAUGAGGUUGUGGUGGUUGCUGGGAGGCCCCCUGGAGCAGGGCAGUGGGAGGACCUCCCAGGGCAGGUGUGGUGAUGGUCGCCCUCCCUCCAUUCGGGUGCCUCCCUUUGCACACCCCGGACCCCCGUCCCCAGUCCACCAGCUCACAAGCUCAAUACAGCUAACAAAUCUACUCUCCCCUGUGAGAGGUAAGCUGGGAAGGCCAGCUUGGGUUUGCACUGUGAUUUCUAAAGGAUGCAUUGCUCUGAAUUCACCUCUGAGAAGUGUUGGUGGCACAGCUGGGAGUCGUGUGAGCCCCACGACUGUGUGGUCGGCUCCCUGGCCAGAGCCCAUGGUGCUGAUGCUCCUGGGACAGGGGAGUGGGGCAUGGAGCCCAUCUCAGCAAGCCAGGACCUGAUGAGUCGUGCCCGCCCACCCGUGGGCACAGGGAACUGAGCCCCUGAUGUGGCUGGAGAGGAGGAAGGUGCACUGGGGACAGAGGGACUGUCAGCUGGCCGAGGAGCCACUCUGGCCAGGCUGAGGCCACACUUGGAUCCCCCCUCCCCUGUUACAUCUCUAGAAGGCUUAACCAUCUCUCUGCCCAGUUCAGACCCUGCCCAUCCUUCAUGGCUUCCUCUGGGAUGAGCCCGUGACCCAGGUUCUCCAGGUAAACGCUUCUUAGGGGUCCCCAGCUGACCGUGUGCUCCUGGAGGAUUGAUCACCUCACCUUGCGUUUAUAUUCCUUUGUUGAUUUUCCUCUAAGAGCCUAGGCCAGUGGUGGGCACAUGUCACAGUUUGAUCGAGUGAGCCCCAGAGCAGGGGAAUGCCAUCUAAGAUGUGCCAGUGAGAGGCAGAGCUGGGACCGGAACCCCAAAUCCUAGAACAUGGAAACAGCAUCCCGAGUGUGCAAGGAGGGGUGGGAGCGGCGAGUCUGGGUGAGGCAUCCUCUCCUGUGAAUCCUGUGCUGUUUCAAGCCGUUCUGGGUGAAAGAGUGCAAACGCCGGGGAAUUUUCUCUCUCUGCCUUGGUUAUUGUCACAUGCAAGCAGGGAUGAUUUCCUAAAAUGUGUGACUAGAUAAGGGAUUCCUUCACCAGGAUAUGAAAUGACUGUGCAUUCAAAUCUGAGCCACGAAAGAGGAUCUUUGCUCCAUUUUUCCUGCGCACCACACACGAAUCUUCCCAGGACACUAACCCGUGUGCUCAUCUGGAGGCCUCGAGGCUUGGGGUCACUGGUGAAAGUGCAGCCUGGAAUGGCUCCUGGGUGUUGCCCGUGCGCACCCCCCACUCUACUGUCUUCUCCCCCGACCCGGGUUUGUCCCAUCUGCCCAGUGAUGCACUGACACAGCCUGGUUUGUCUCAGGGGAAAAUCUGUCCUCAGAGUACAUGUUUGGGUACUGGGGUGGAGUUGGCAAAGAGGUGGCAUGAAGAGCAUUCCUUGCCUUUCUUCUGAUCAGGAGACUACAAGGAAAAAUACAAAACACUUCUUUGAGCAUUGAGAGCAAAAUUUUAGAGUGACUUUAUCAUGAGUUUGUUUAUCAUGAGAAUCAUUUUUUAAAAGGAAACUUGGUUAAUGAAAAGAAAUCAGGGACAUAUUAUAUAUAUAUACAAUGACGUCAAGUAUGU
RNAcentral lists this long non-coding RNA (3563 nucleotides) under Phocoena sinus (vaquita). Its description in RNAcentral is "lncRNA (ENSPSNG00000006272.1)". The record is from RNAcentral. Lineage: Eukaryota; Metazoa; Chordata; Mammalia; Artiodactyla; Phocoenidae.